This 95-nucleotide transfer RNA is filed under the name Yarrowia lipolytica. RNAcentral describes it as "tRNA-Arg". Lineage: Eukaryota; Fungi; Ascomycota; Dipodascomycetes; Dipodascales. The record is from RNAcentral.
AAAAGACUUGGCGUCAUGCUAGCGCAUUGGAUUUCGGCUUCUUCAAUACAAACGACGCUCUCAAUAGGCUGCGGGUUGGAGUUCUGUUGUCCUCU